GUGGGGAAUAUUGCGCAAUGGGCGAAAGCCUGACGCAGCAACGCCGCGUGAGUGAAGACGGCCUUCGGGUUGUAAAGCUCUGUCUUCUUGGACGAAGCUCCAGAAUGUUAAUAGCAUACUGGGAUGACGGUACAAGAGGAGGAAGCCCCGGCUAACUACGUGCCAGCAGCCGCGGUAAAACGUAGGGGGCGAGCGUUGUCCGGAAUUACUGGGCGUAAAGCGCGUGUAGGCGGGUUUAUAAGUCGGGUGUGAAAACUCUGGGCUCAACCCAGAGACUGCAUCCGAAACUGUAGAUCUUGAGGGCGGGAGAGGAAAGUGGAAUUCCUAGUGUAGCGGUGAAAUGCGUAGAUAUUAGGAGGAACACCAGUGGCGAAGGCGGCUUUCUGGACUGUGUCUGACGCUGAGAUGCGGAAGCCAGGGUAGCGAACGGGAUUAGAAACCCGAGUAGUCC
RNAcentral lists this ribosomal RNA (451 nucleotides) under uncultured bacterium. Its description in RNAcentral is "partial 16S ribosomal RNA". It matches the Rfam family "Bacterial small subunit ribosomal RNA", at positions 354 to 796 of the family's 1533-position model. The record is from RNAcentral.